AGAACAUUUUGGGGAUCUAUGCCAAAUCUGGGGCAACAGCAGUUGCUUAAUAAUGCUUUGGAUGUCAGAAAGUUUCCAGAUGAGCAACUCACAACUGUAUACAACAUAACCCUAACACGAUCAGACCUGUGCUCUCUAGGCCUGGAAAAAGACAUAGAGGGAACGGUUCUCAACUGUUGCCUUAAAGUGCUAGAGACCAUAGCAAAAUCACAGGUGAUAGAGUCUGUAUUUUGUGCUCAGAUUGAUUAAGCUGCUUAAAGGGAUAGCUUAAA
This is a long non-coding RNA of Clarias gariepinus (North African catfish), 272 nucleotides long. RefSeq lists it as uncharacterized. NCBI's taxonomy places the organism in Eukaryota, Metazoa, Chordata, Actinopteri, Siluriformes, Clariidae. The record is from RefSeq and is a predicted model, not a curated record. The transcript is spliced from 3 exons.